This 346-nucleotide ribosomal RNA is filed under the name uncultured bacterium. Its description in RNAcentral is "bacterial SSU rRNA". It matches the Rfam family "Bacterial small subunit ribosomal RNA", at positions 1036 to 1382 of the family's 1533-position model. The record is from RNAcentral.
AGGUGCUGCAUGGCUGUCGUCAGCUUCGUGUCGUGAGAUGUUGGGUUAAGUCCCGCAACGAGCGCAACCCUUGUCCUGUGUUGCUACUCCGCAAGGAGAGGACUCUCAGGAGACUGCCGUGGAUAACACGGAGGAAGGUGGGGACGACGUCAAGUCAUCAUGGCCUUUAUGUCCAGGGCUACACACGUGAUACAAUGGUGCAGACAGAAGGUUGCAAGACCGUAAGGUGGAGCCAAUCCCUAAACUGCACCCUAGUUCAGAUCGUGGGCUGCAAUUCGCCCACGUGAAGCUGGAAUCGCUAGUAAUCGCAGAUCAGCAGGCUGCGGUGAAUACGUUCCCGGGCCUU